UUCAUUUUUUUUUAAUAAUUUUCUCAUUAAGUAUAUGAAGUUAUGAUUGAUAAAUAAUUUUAUUAAUAUGUAUUAAUUUAUUUUACUUAAUAUCAAAGGGAUAAGGUUUUAAAAAUAGGUUUAAGGUUUUUUUUUGUUUUAAUUGUAAAGAUAUUUUUUUGUUGUUUAAAAAAAAAAAUGUUCUGACCGAGAAAAUCACUCCAGUGGAAUUUUGAAAGCAAACCUUUCAAACGGCGAGAGUAUGUUCGGUCGUGACGAAACAGUUUGGUGGGUGAGCGCCGGUUUUUUAUUCUCUUCAACAAGAGCGUGACCUGUCACAACUGGUUUACUUGUUGGGGUAGUGUGUGGCGGUGGUCGCGAAGGUGUCAUUCGCGUAUCGGCAUGCCUAGAGUGGUUUUGUGUAUCACGGACUCAAGUGCGUUAUUUUGUUGGUUUUGUUUUCUUUGACGGUUUUAUGUGUUCAAUUCACUCUGUUGAUUGCAUCGGGCUCAACUGCUUUACUUGACACAUUCACCAUCUUCAUUUGGGUACAGAAAGCAAGAUUCUAUCAUAGGAAUACUGAAAUGUAGUGUAAGCAACUGUCAAAAUAAUGCUGAAUGAAUGGCGAGGAUAUGUAAAUGCUCAUUUUAUGAUCUUUGUAUAAAUAAAUAUAUGAACCAAAUGUGUUCAUCUUGUAAAAAAACAGAAAACUUCAUGGAUGAACUCUUGAUCGUGUUCAAGGUGAUAGCUUAUCAAUUCAAAAAUUGAUUGUGAAAAUGCAACUUCUCAAAAAAUGCUUUCAUAUAACUUUUUUAUUAAAAAAAAAUUAAAAGUUCUUAUAAGUUUUAUUUUA
Molecule: long non-coding RNA, 832 nt
Organism: Daktulosphaira vitifoliae (grape phylloxera)
Lineage: Eukaryota; Metazoa; Arthropoda; Insecta; Hemiptera; Phylloxeridae
Exons: 3
Source: RefSeq, a predicted model, not a curated record